GAUACAAUGCGAGUGCCAUUUUCCAGUGGUCAGGUUUAAACGGAGACGAGCAAAAAAAAUUUGAAAAGUUAAGAAAUCUGCCAAAAUGAGGAGCUUCAUCAUCAUCACUGUGCUGUCAGCACUCGCAGCCAGCUAUUGUACUGCCGACGUCUGGAGCGAGAAAGAGAUGCAAGAACGCUACAACAUUAUGUACAACGAAGAAUCAACCAAUGGAAAAAUGGUGUCUGACGCAGCGCUUAAUGAAAUAAUAUCUAAGAAUUUGACAAUAAUAGCUCAAUGGAACUGUCAAACUCCUGCGCAACCCAAUAAGGUACAGCGUGUCGGUGUAGUAUAUGACGGCCCUCCUGAUAAUAAAAUUAUCCUUUUCAUUGUAACUGCUCACAAGCCUUUACCAAAGAUAGAUUAUCACUACUCGUCAUUGCAUGCUAUUUCCAUUAAUAUAACGGCUCCUAUUGGUCUAAGAAUCAACUCUACGGUAUAUGUGUGCGGCGUUGUAGAACAAAACUAAGACUGGUUUAAAAAUUGUGACGUCUGGCAUUAAAAAGUAUAUUUGCUGUCUCAGUACCCAUAGGUAUGUUCU
Spodoptera frugiperda (fall armyworm) is the source of this 580-nucleotide long non-coding RNA. RefSeq lists it as uncharacterized. NCBI's taxonomy places the organism in Eukaryota, Metazoa, Arthropoda, Insecta, Lepidoptera, Noctuidae. The record is from RefSeq and is a predicted model, not a curated record. The transcript is spliced from 3 exons.